Molecule: ribosomal RNA, 164 nt
Filed under: uncultured bacterium
Lineage: Bacteria
Description: partial 16S rRNA
Rfam family: Bacterial small subunit ribosomal RNA
Source: RNAcentral
UAGGGAAUCUUCCACAAUGGGCGAAAGCCUGAUGGAGCAACGCCGCGUGUGUGGUGAAGGGUUUCGGCUCGUAAAACACUGUUGUAAGAGAAGAAUGACAUUGAGAGUAACUGUUCAAUGUGUGACGGUAUCUUACCAGAAAGGAACGGCUAAAUACGUGCCUG